RNAcentral lists this ribosomal RNA (2802 nucleotides) under Klebsiella pneumoniae. Its description in RNAcentral is "bacterial LSU rRNA". It matches the Rfam family "Bacterial large subunit ribosomal RNA". The record is from RNAcentral. Lineage: Bacteria; Pseudomonadati; Pseudomonadota; Gammaproteobacteria; Enterobacterales; Enterobacteriaceae.
GGGUUGUGAGGUUAAGCGACUAAGCGUACACGGUGGAUGCCCUGGCAGUCAGAGGCGAUGAAGGACGUGCUAAUCUGCGAAAAGCGUCGGUAAGGUGAUAUGAACCGUUAUAACCGGCGAUGUCCGAAUGGGGAAACCCAGUGCAAUUCGUUGCACUAUCGUUAACUGAAUACAUAGGUUAACGAGGCGAACCGGGGGAACUGAAACAUCUAAGUACCCCGAGGAAAAGAAAUCAACCGAGAUUCCCCCAGUAGCGGCGAGCGAACGGGGAGCAGCCCAGAGUCUGAAUCAGCUUGUGUGUUAGUGGAACGGUCUGGAAAGUCCGACGGUACAGGGUGAUAGUCCCGUACACCAAAAUGCACAGGUUGUGAACUCGAAGAGUAGGGCGGGACACGUGGUAUCCUGUCUGAAUAUGGGGGGACCAUCCUCCAAGGCUAAAUACUCCUGACUGACCGAUAGUGAACCAGUACCGUGAGGGAAAGGCGAAAAGAACCCCGGCGAGGGGAGUGAAAAAGAACCUGAAACCGUGUACGUACAAGCAGUGGGAGCACCUUCGGGUGUGACUGCGUACCUUUUGUAUAAUGGGUCAGCGACUUAUAUUCUGUAGCAAGGUUAACCGUAUAGGGGAGCCGCAGGGAAACCGAGUCUUAACUGGGCGUUAAGUUGCAGGGUAUAGACCCGAAACCCGGUGAUCUAGCCAUGGGCAGGUUGAAGGUUGGGUAACACUAACUGGAGGACCGAACCGACUAAUGUUGAAAAAUUAGCGGAUGACUUGUGGCUGGGGGUGAAAGGCCAAUCAAACCGGGAGAUAGCUGGUUCUCCCCGAAAGCUAUUUAGGUAGCGCCUCGUGAACUCAUCUUCGGGGGUAGAGCACUGUUUCGGCUAGGGGGUCAUCCCGACUUACCAACCCGAUGCAAACUACGAAUACCGAAGAAUGUUAUCACGGGAGACACACGGCGGGUGCUAACGUCCGUCGUGAAGAGGGAAACAACCCAGACCGCCAGCUAAGGUCCCAAAGUCAUGGUUAAGUGGGAAACGAUGUGGGAAGGCACAGACAGCCAGGAUGUUGGCUUAGAAGCAGCCAUCAUUUAAAGAAAGCGUAAUAGCUCACUGGUCGAGUCGGCCUGCGCGGAAGAUGUAACGGGGCUAAACCAUGCACCGAAGCUGCGGCAGCGACACUAUGUGUUGUUGGGUAGGGGAGCGUUCUGUAAGCCUGCGAAGGUGUGCUGUGAGGCAUGCUGGAGGUAUCAGAAGUGCGAAUGCUGACAUAAGUAACGAUAAAGCGGGUGAAAAGCCCGCUCGCCGGAAGACCAAGGGUUCCUGUCCAACGUUAAUCGGGGCAGGGUGAGUCGACCCCUAAGGCGAGGCCGAAAGGCGUAGUCGAUGGGAAACAGGUUAAUAUUCCUGUACUUGGUGUUACUGCGAAGGGGGGACGGAGAAGGCUAUGUUAGCCGGGCGACGGUUGUCCCGGUUUAAGCAUGUAGGCUGAUUGUCCAGGCAAAUCCGGAUAAUCAAGGCUGAGGUGUGAUGACGAGGCACUACGGUGCUGAAGUAACAAAUGCCCUGCUUCCAGGAAAAGCCUCUAAGCAUCAGGUAACAUCAAAUCGUACCCCAAACCGACACAGGUGGUCAGGUAGAGAAUACCAAGGCGCUUGAGAGAACUCGGGUGAAGGAACUAGGCAAAAUGGUGCCGUAACUUCGGGAGAAGGCACGCUGGUGUGUAGGUGAAGUCCCUGCGGAUGGAGCUGAGACCAGUCGAAGAUACCAGCUGGCUGCAACUGUUUAUUAAAAACACAGCACUGUGCAAACACGAAAGUGGACGUAUACGGUGUGACGCCUGCCCGGUGCCGGAAGGUUAAUUGAUGGGGUUAUCCGUAAGGAGAAGCUCUUGAUCGAAGCCCCGGUAAACGGCGGCCGUAACUAUAACGGUCCUAAGGUAGCGAAAUUCCUUGUCGGGUAAGUUCCGACCUGCACGAAUGGCGUAAUGAUGGCCAGGCUGUCUCCACCCGAGACUCAGUGAAAUUGAACUCGCUGUGAAGAUGCAGUGUACCCGCGGCAAGACGGAAAGACCCCGUGAACCUUUACUAUAGCUUGACACUGAACAUUGAGCCUUGAUGUGUAGGAUAGGUGGGAGGCUUUGAAGCGUGGACGCCAGUCUGCGUGGAGCCAACCUUGAAAUACCACCCUUUAAUGUUUGAUGUUCUAACGUUGGCCCCUGACCGGGGUUGCGGACAGUGUCUGGUGGGUAGUUUGACUGGGGCGGUCUCCUCCCAAAGCGUAACGGAGGAGCACGAAGGUUAGCUAAUCCUGGUCGGACAUCAGGAGGUUAGUGCAAUGGCAUAAGCUAGCUUGACUGCGAGCGUGACGGCGCGAGCAGGUGCGAAAGCAGGUCAUAGUGAUCCGGUGGUUCUGAAUGGAAGGGCCAUCGCUCAACGGAUAAAAGGUACUCCGGGGAUAACAGGCUGAUACCGCCCAAGAGUUCAUAUCGACGGCGGUGUUUGGCACCUCGAUGUCGGCUCAUCACAUCCUGGGGCUGAAGUAGGUCCCAAGGGUAUGGCUGUUCGCCAUUUAAAGUGGUACGCGAGCUGGGUUUAGAACGUCGUGAGACAGUUCGGUCCCUAUCUGCCGUGGGCGCUGGAGAAUUGAGGGGGGCUGCUCCUAGUACGAGAGGACCGGAGUGGACGCAUCACUGGUGUUCGGGUUGUCAUGCCAAUGGCACUGCCCGGUAGCUAAAUGCGGAAGAGAUAAGUGCUGAAAGCAUCUAAGCACGAAACUUGCCCCGAGAUGAGUUCUCCCUGAGAC